Molecule: ribosomal RNA, 295 nt
Filed under: uncultured bacterium
Lineage: Bacteria
Description: partial 16S ribosomal RNA
Rfam family: Bacterial small subunit ribosomal RNA
Source: RNAcentral
UUUAGGAUGGACCCGCGGUGCAUUAGUUAGUUGGUGAGGUAAAGGUUCACCAAGACCGUGAUGCAUAGCCGACCUGAGAGGUAAUCGGCCACACUGGGACUGAGACACGGCCCAGACUCCUACGGGAGGCAGCAGUAGGGAAUCUUCCACAAUGGACGAAAGUCUGAUGGAGCAACGCCGCGUGAGUGAAGAAGGUUUUCGGAUCGUAAAACUCUGUUGUUGGAGAAGAAUGUAUCUGAUAGUAACUGAUCAGGUAGUGACGGUAUCCAACCAGAAAGCCACGGCUAACUACGUG